GGUGGUUCUCAGGUGACGCACCCCAGAAUUGGGUUCCCUCCUCUCUGGUUCUGGGUGUGACACCUGAGAACCGCA
Myotis davidii is the source of this 75-nucleotide non-coding RNA. The record is from Rfam. Lineage: Eukaryota; Metazoa; Chordata; Mammalia; Chiroptera; Vespertilionidae.